Long non-coding RNA from Suricata suricatta (meerkat), 305 nucleotides. RefSeq lists it as uncharacterized. The transcript has 3 exons. The record is from RefSeq and is a predicted model, not a curated record. NCBI's taxonomy places the organism in Eukaryota, Metazoa, Chordata, Mammalia, Carnivora, Herpestidae.
AUCUGACACCUAAGCUCUGGAGAAAUGGGGAAGCAGGACCUGGUAAGGGCUUCACUCGGGCUGAAAUCUUUGCUUCACUACUGGCUGGCUGGCGCCCUGAGGUCUAACCUUUGACUGACAUGAAGACAUAUGUGCUGCCUACAUUCGGAGAACAUAGGGAGGAGGGCAUGUCCUGCUAAUAAGCUGCUCACCAGACCCAGUUAGAGAUGACUUCUUCUUGAAGACCCUCUCAGACAAAGGAGCCCCUGACUUGCUGUCAACUGCUGAAUGUAUCCACAUGGCCCCGGGCUUCCCUAAGCGGCACU